Molecule: long non-coding RNA, 1828 nt
Organism: Populus trichocarpa (black cottonwood)
Lineage: Eukaryota; Viridiplantae; Streptophyta; Magnoliopsida; Malpighiales; Salicaceae
Exons: 3
Source: RefSeq, a predicted model, not a curated record
UGUUGAAACUCUUCUAUGAGCGCUGAGUUUUCACGACUAUGAGAGGCAUGUUACAUAACAAAUGCUCCACGGCUCCACCUUAACAUGGCUGUGAACUAGUGGUGAUUGCCACAUACCAAUUAAAAAAAAAACUUAAAGGCCUUGAAGAAUCAUUGUGGACCUAGAGAUAAAAUCCUAUUCACCACAACAGUGCUUCCUAAACAACUCUUUUCAAGUCUUUUAUUUUUCUCCGGUUGGGUUGUGGGCUCAAGCUUGCUGUUUUUGAGGGGUUAGAUGCUGAUCUAGAUGAUUUCUAAAAGUCUGAUUCAUGGGUCUUCCUCGCCUGAUUGGUGUGCUGGAAUGCCUGCCCAUGAAGGAUGCUCCCAACUUGGCAAGUUGUGCGAGAUUUUUGCAGGAUGUUCGGGGUAUUUUUUUGUUGGGAUAGGUGCUGGACGAACAUCUUCUUUGAUUAAAGAGACUUUAGGUUUUCGACUCUUUUGAUGACCUUUCGCUGCCGCAACCAUCUUAUGUUCCAUGGCUUAGGUUGCUUGCUGUUGUGUCGUUCUUCAAUGUUUACUGCGUUUUUCAGCCAUAUUCAUUUGGAUUUUUUUAUUUUUUUUGCCUUCUGCUAUUCUGUUCCUUUGGAAUCUAUUUCUACAUAUUACUUUCUUCACUCUUUUGAAAGGAUUUUGCUGCUCUUUAUUUGGCAGCUUGGAGAGAAAGAGUGUAUUGACACCCUUUCAUCUACAGCUAGAUAGCUUCAGCGCUGUAGUUAAAUCUGCUGAAAAAGAGUAAGCUGUCACCUACGAUACUUUUUGUUCCAGGUCUGUGUCUGUCCUUUAUUUUUUUUUCCUUUCGAUUUGGUUCUAAUAUUUCAGCUUGCGGCAAGAAAGCUUGCUAACAAGUGGCCGUAUGUUUUGUUUUUAAAUAUGUAGCUCUUCACCUAUUAUCCCAUGAAAACAAACUUUAUUCUGAUCACUGAAAUUAAUUUUCAUUCGUGAAGGAUAUUCCCAAAGAAAACAUUUCUUAGAGAGAUUCUUAAGGAAGAACUUAAUUACAACUCCAAACAGCCUAAUAAGUUCAGUGUAAUGUUAAUUUUGAUAGCUGGGGUAACCUCUCAGAAAAAUAUGUUCUUCAAUUGAGUGACCAUGUGCCCUUACAUUCGUGAUACCAGUUCCAAGCAGCAAAUGAAUGUUCUGAACAUCCUGCUUUUGUGAGAAAUAAUGGCGAAGGCUCAGAAGUUGCUGAAAAUGGAGUGAUGAAGUCAGCUGGUGGAACUGACAACGUAUGCAGUAGAGCAACUGGUUGUGACUGAUUGAUAUUUCUGAUGCUCAGCUUUUUGCUUGGGGGAAGGAGGGUGUCAUUUGAUUUUUGUUAAAAUUAAUUAGUUCAAGAACCCCAGAGCAAUUGAGGGAAGUAGAGGAAUAGGAUGAAUAAACAAAAACCAAACACACAAGAUAAGACAGCAUGAGAUUAACAGUCAUGUUACUAGAAAAGAGUAUCAUGCAGAAGAAUUGCUUUCCCUAAGCGUUGUGUUGGCAGCAAUACCUAUCAUCUUUUAGAUGAAAGCUAACACUCUUUCCUUGCAACAGGAGACCUGGGCAUCAGACCGUGCAUCCACACUUUUGAGUGGCACCGUCAAAAUCCCAUGCUUUUUUCUGCUGUUCUUCAUGGAGUCCAUUGUCGGUCCUGUUUUUCAUUUAUCGUUUAUAUAUAUAUAUAUAUAUAUAUAUAUAUAUAUAUAUAUGCGCGCGCGAGAGAGAGAGAUAUUUAAAUAAAAUCAGCUUAUUUUGUUAGUUUAAAUUAUUGGAUUUAUUUAUUUAAAAAAAAAACUCUUAUUGUAUCUAAA